Molecule: long non-coding RNA, 670 nt
Organism: Rhopalosiphum maidis (corn leaf aphid)
Lineage: Eukaryota; Metazoa; Arthropoda; Insecta; Hemiptera; Aphididae
Exons: 3
Source: RefSeq, a predicted model, not a curated record
GGAAAGUUCUUCAGCACUACAACAAUAGAUUGUAACACAUUUUCUAAAGUCAUCAAAAUCCGUCAUACUUCCAAAUCAGUGACACGUAUCAACGCUAUAGAAGCUGAAGAACUUGCAACUAGAAAUAUUCGAAUGGGUUAUUUUACUUAUGGCAGCGCAUUAAAUUAAAACCGGAAAGUUCUUCAGCACUACAACAAUAGAUUGUAACACAUUUUCUAAAGUCAUCAAAAUCCGUCAUACUUCCAAAUCAGUGACACGUAUCAACGCUAUAGAAGCUGAAGAACUUGCAACUAGAAAUAUUCGAAUGGGUUAUUUUACUUAUGGCAGCGCAUUAAAUUAAAACCGGAAAGUUCUUCAGCACUACAACAAUAGAUUGUAACACAUUUUCUAAAGUCAUCAAAAUCCGUCAUACUUCCAAAUCAGUGACACGUAUCAACGCUAUAGAAGCUGAAGAACUUGCAACUAGAAAUAUUCGAAUGGGUACAUAAUAUGUUUUUAACCGGUUAAUAUGUUUUUGGGUACGACAAUAGAUAACCCAAUACCAAGAUACCAGCUGCUAUUAUGUUACAUAUUAUGGUAACAAACAUAACAAUAUAAAACGUCUUCAUCUAUUUCUAUAAAUUAAUAAUUUAUUAUACCAAGUAAUAUUUAAUGGUUAUUGUAAUAACUC